CGACCUCAGUUCGGAUUGAAGGCUGAAAUUCGCCUUCAUGAAGUCGGAAUUGCUAGUAAUGGCAGGUCAGCAUACUGCCGUGAAUACGUUCCCGGGCCUUGUACACACCGCCCGUCACACCAUGAGAGUUGGAGAUACCCGAAGCCUAUGAGCUAACUUUUAGAGGCAGUAGUCGAAGGUAGAAUCAAUGAUUGGGGUGAAGUCGUAACAAGGUAAC
Molecule: ribosomal RNA, 217 nt
Filed under: uncultured bacterium
Lineage: Bacteria
Description: partial 16S ribosomal RNA
Rfam family: Bacterial small subunit ribosomal RNA
Source: RNAcentral